This 27-nucleotide small RNA is filed under the name Bombyx mori (domestic silkworm). Its description in RNAcentral is "ovarian small RNA-3860". Lineage: Eukaryota; Metazoa; Arthropoda; Insecta; Lepidoptera; Bombycidae. The record is from RNAcentral.
UGUACUACAAGGCCCGGUUGGAGAUGC